Molecule: ribosomal RNA, 495 nt
Filed under: uncultured bacterium
Lineage: Bacteria
Description: partial 16S ribosomal RNA
Rfam family: Bacterial small subunit ribosomal RNA
Source: RNAcentral
GACGAACGCUGGCGGCGUGCCUAAUACAUGCAAGUAGAACGCUGAAGGAGGAGCUUGCUCUUCUGGAUGAGUUGCGAACGGGUGAGUAACGCGUAGGUAACCUGCCUGGUAGCGGGGGAUAACUAUUGGAAACGAUAGCUAAUACCGCAUAAGAGUAGAUGUUGCAUGACAUUUACUUAAAAGGUGCAAUUGCAUCACUACCAGAUGGACCUGCGUUGUAUUAGCUAGUUGGUGGGGUAACGGCUUACCAAGGCGACGAUACAUAGCCGACCUGAGAGGGUGAUCGGCCACACUGGGACUGAGACACGGCCCAGACUCCUACGGGAGGCAGCAGUAGGGAAUCUUCGGCAAUGGACGGAAGUCUGACCGAGCAACGCCGCGUGAGUGAAGAAGGUUUUCGGAUCGUAAAGCUCUGUUGUAAGAGAAGAACGAGUGUGAGAGUGGAAAGUUCACACUGUGACGGUACCUUACCAGAAAGGGACGGCUAACUACGUG